RNAcentral lists this long non-coding RNA (3497 nucleotides) under Monomorium pharaonis (pharaoh ant). RNAcentral's name for it is "uncharacterized LOC118647330". The record is from RNAcentral. Lineage: Eukaryota; Metazoa; Arthropoda; Insecta; Hymenoptera; Formicidae.
CAGCCCUGCGUGAUUGACGAUUAAUCAACUUUUCAGUCCACGAUAACGAAAACGUAUCAGCUUGCGGCAGACAGAUUAAAAGGCGGAGCGGAUCCUCCGGUAUAAGAGUGCAAUCCCGCCGGUCUUGUCACAAAGCCGGUGGACACAACGCUGGACGAUCUGUGCAUAGCUGGCGAGGGUGGCGCGGACGGCAGCAUCCUGGGUGUUUGCGGAGGCGUCCUGCCGGAUGACAUGCUUCCGAUACUACUGGUGGAUGACUUCCUUCUCAGAGUCCUGCAAAUAUAACGGACACGAACUGACUCUGCUUAAAAAAUCCAAUAGACUUAGAUUUAAAAGAACUUAUAUAAUCCUUUACCUACGUGUUUUGAAUUUAUAAAUAUCAGAUUUAAACCAUUUUGAUGUUAUUUAUUUAUUAAAUUAUAAUUUAAUAAUUAUCUUUAAUCAAUAAUAAUAAUUUUUUAUUUAAUAUAUCGAAAUUUAUAUUAUUUUAUGUUUCCAGUUUAUGUAUGAUGUAUUAUCUAAUGAAAAUCUUACUUAAGCCUCUUAAAUCGGCACUCCCUUAUUUCUCGGAAAUUAAACUUUGUAUUAUAUAGUACUAACACAUAAUCUGUUUAGAUAAUGAAAAUGUAUAAUUUAUACAUUUAAUAUAUGUGUAAAGCAAAUCGCAUUUUUUUCAGAUUAGAUAAGUAUAAAAAAAUAUACAUGUUUAAAUUAAUAUUUCACAUUGUUUAAGUAAGAUACUGUUAAGAAACUAGAAAUAAUUAAUAACUUCUCUAUCUAUAGUAGAUGAAUGCGAUUGAAACGAUAUUAUACUACAUAACUUUAAUAUAAAAUUUCAGUGAAAAUAAAUCUGUCAAUUCCUACUAUUUUGCAUCGAAAUUUUUUAAGAGAGAAGUUUAAAGAACACGAGCUUAUCGAUUACAUAAAGAUCAAUAACAUGGAUUAUAAGGACCCGACUACCUGGCAGUACGUUAACCCACUUUGCCAGUAGUACGGCCGGCUGCAUUUAAAUAGUGUUCGAUGCAUCUACACGGAGAAAAUUUUAUAGUAAAAAUUACCAUGUACGAUCUCAGAUAGCAUUCAAUGAACGCUCGAUUUUAGUUUUUGUUUUAUUCAAAUGUUCAUGGACAAAUGUUUUAAAAAUGCAUUAUUGGACGUUCAAAAUAUAUUCCUAUUUGGACGUUUUAAAGAAUUUGGAUAUUUUAAACACGUACGGAACGUUUACUGCAUACAUUUUUAAUACGUUUUUAAAACGUGUGCUGUCUGGAGUAGUAUCUACAGACUAUAAGAAUAAAUUUCAGAGAAUUAUAUAAUAUAAGUAGUGUAAACACUAUAAUUUGAUAAAAAAGCAUAGUACAAAUUUUCAUAAUUACUUUUUUGUUUCGCGCUUGCUGUUUACCACAGUAAUUUUUACUAAAAAAUUUUCCCCGUGUAGAUUUUUAGCCGACAGUCAACGAUCAAAUUUCCCCGUGCAAUAUUUAAGAGGUGCGAUUGAUUGCGCGAGAAGAGAAAAUUCCGUUUACUGUCACGCCGGGUCGCGACAUUCUCUGGCAGAAAAAUAGCACGGCCGCAUAGGAAUAGACGUGUUUUGCACGCGCGCAUUCGGAUACGACAGCAGCACGAUAGGCAUGCAUUUAUGUAAAUUCUAGCCCGGCAUAUUGGCAUAUAGAUGUUGACGCGACGUAUUUUUCUACGUCAAAACGGAAAACACACUUUGCGAUGUACCGUGCGCUCUGAUUUCACUGAAUUCGAGCCAAGACGAGACAGCUCGGAUGCACGAGGGAUGCUCGCUCGCUGUUUAUUUUCGGCGUAAAGCCAUCGAGAGACGCGAUCGAAUGUCGAUGUAAUUGCGACGAAUCCGAGAAACCUCCAGCAUUGCCGGGGUUUGAACGUACAACAUUAACUUGGUCGAUCGCCAAGAAGGAGGUUGGAACUUUAUCGACAUUGCUGAAAGUUACAUUAAUUGUAACAACUCACAGACUUUUUACGGCGACCUCGUGAUUCAAUAACACGUCGUCAGUUGUAGCAAGUACGCAUUUUAAUCUAUUGAAGUUACACGAUCGAAAUAUAAGUAGCUUUACAAGGAAAGAUCUCCAAUUUAGCAAUCUAAAACUUAUAGACAAUACACGGAGAAUAUCUCGUUUUAUAAGACAUAAUUUUUUUGCUAUUUUGUUCGAAUUUACACUGAAGGAACAAAAUCAACCCCCCUGGAAAAUUGAUCUACCUUUUAUUUUUAUUUUGUUAUUUACCAACAAACAAAGGAUAAUUUUAUCCCUUUAGGGUGAAUUCGAGCAGCGCAAAAAUAGUUUAUCACAUAUCGAAAUAUUCCCGUAAAAAAACCGAUUGAAAACGAUAGGAAAUGUUCAAUCAUUUUAAAGCGAGAGUUGACAGUGUGAAUAUCAAAGUGAUGACGAUAUAGUUUUAAUCAUUGGUGAUAAAUUUUAUUAAAGAAUAAAAAAUAGUACAAGAAUUCUAUCAUAUUCCAAUUAUUUAGUCGGCUUGUAUCAGGGAAUGGUAACAUUUCUUUCUAAAAGUAAAACAGUAAGAAACGAUAAAAUUUUUUUAUGUGGCGGUUACUAUUUUUGUUGUUUUUCUAUUAAUUUUUUUAACAGAGAUUCUCUUUGUGAGUAUAUUGCCAAAAUUUCAUAAUUUUUUAAAUUUCCGAGUCAAAGACCUUUUCUUGUCAAAGACACAUAAAAAGAGACUUUAUUAUUAAAAAAUAAAAUUUCGUGAAAAAUUUAAAAACUUUUUAAUAGAAAAGCCACGUUAAAAUUGUUUAAAUUUUAAAAUUGUUUAUUUAUAUUAAAAACCAUUCUUUUAAUGUAACGAAUAUUAAAUGUCAUGAUUUAUUUUUAUCUAUUUUUUUUACACUUGAAUUAUAAUCAUUGAACAGUCAGUAAUUUAAUAUUUGAAAAUUAAAUAUUGAAAAGUUUAAAGGAUUAUGUUCACUACAUUAUAUAAAAAUCAUUUUAUUCGCGAAAUAUUUAGCACGAAAAAUGAUACAUUGACCGUUAAUAGACUAACACUCCAGCGUGAUAAGAAGCCAUAAAUUAGUGAUUGUAAUACCGAAACGAAACAAUAAUUUUUCAUCAUCCGUCUGUGUGAUUUAAUCUUCGAUCGCGGUGAUAUAAGCCCAUUGUUUGCUUGGCGUACGCGUACAUGUAAAGAGAUUUUGCACAAUACAAAAAUGAAUACAAUAAAUACGUAGAAAUACACAUUCAAUUUAUUGCGAUUAUAAUCGGAGAUUGUAAAACUCUCUAAUUAGCCUAAUCUAAUGAUAAUUCAUAUAAAACAUAAUUUAUUUAGGAGAGCGAAGUAACAGUAUUACAAUCACUGGCGUGAGCAUGAAUGCAAUCUAUAUCUGUCGGGACACUCGAUAUCGUCCGAACUUGUGGAUAUUCGCACACCGGGGAAACACCGCCUAUUUUGCUACGGUUAUCAAUUUGCCAUUCAGAUUCAAAUGCAAUUGCAUGCUAAAGCGUAACGCGCGGAUGUUG